RNAcentral lists this ribosomal RNA (208 nucleotides) under Acinetobacter baumannii. Its description in RNAcentral is "partial 16S ribosomal RNA". It matches the Rfam family "Bacterial small subunit ribosomal RNA", at positions 533 to 740 of the family's 1533-position model. The record is from RNAcentral. Lineage: Bacteria; Pseudomonadati; Pseudomonadota; Gammaproteobacteria; Moraxellales; Moraxellaceae.
UGCGAGCGUUAAUCGGAUUUACUGGGCGUAAAGCGUGCGUAGGCGGCUUAUUAAGUCGGAUGUGAAAUCCCCGAGCUUAACUUGGGAAUUGCAUUCGAUACUGGUGAGCUAGAGUAUGGGAGAGGAUGGUAGAAUUCCAGGUGUAGCGGUGAAAUGCGUAGAGAUCUGGAGGAAUACCGAUGGCGAAGGCAGCCAUCUGGCCUAAUAC